Molecule: long non-coding RNA, 384 nt
Filed under: Hordeum vulgare
Lineage: Eukaryota; Viridiplantae; Streptophyta; Magnoliopsida; Poales; Poaceae
Description: long non-coding RNA (HVUL_LNC012860)
Source: RNAcentral
AGAUGAGGUGUAAGCAAGCGUCACAUGCUAAGGGAUCUCUAGUCAUAUACAUUGUUCGGAACCAAGAAAACAUAAUUCAUUAUGUUGUCUUCCUUGUCCAACAUCUACUUCUGAGCAUGUAAUAGUUUAAUGAGUGUUCACAAUUAUGGACGGUGUCAAAGAUGAUAUAUUUAUAUGUGAAUCUCUCUUUCUUUAUUUCUUCCUAUUAAUUGCAACAUUGACCAAGGUCUACGUUUGUCCACCCACAACAAGUUUCAAUCAACAUUCUUUCUAUAUGUGAAGUCAUCACUUCCCAUAAGAUCAUUACAUGAUCUUUCAUGCUUUUGUUCUUUUAUUAUUCUUUUCUUUAGAUCAUGGCAUGAAGCAAGGCCCUUAACAAAAACA